This 253-nucleotide ribosomal RNA is filed under the name uncultured bacterium. Its description in RNAcentral is "partial 16S ribosomal RNA". It matches the Rfam family "Bacterial small subunit ribosomal RNA", at positions 524 to 776 of the family's 1533-position model. The record is from RNAcentral.
GACGAACCGUGCGAACGUUGUUCGGAUUCACUGGGCUUAAAGGGCGCGUAGGCGGGCUCGCCAGUCUGUGGUGAAAGCCCCCGGCUUAACCGGGGAAGUGCCGUGGAUACUGCGUGUCUUGAGGAGGGUAGGGGCAUCUGGAACGCUGGGUGGAGCGGUGAAAUGCGUUGAUAUCCAGCGGAACUCCGGUGGCGAAGGCGAGGUGCUGGACCCUUUCUGACGCUGAGGCGCGAAAGCCAGGGGAGCAAACGGG